UACGGAGGGUGCAAACGUUGCUCGGAAUUAUUGGGCGUAAAGAGCUCGUAGGUGGUUUGCUGCGUCCGCUGUGAAAACCCAAGGCUUAACCUUGGGCUUGCAGUGGAUACGGGCAGACUAGAGGUAGGUAGGGGAGAAUGGAAUUCCCGGUGUAGCGGUGAAAUGCGCAGAUAUCGGGAGGAACACCGGUGGCGAAGGCGGUUCUCUGGGCCUUACCUGACACUGAGGAGCGAAAGCGUGGGGAGCGAACAGG
This 253-nucleotide ribosomal RNA is filed under the name uncultured bacterium. Its description in RNAcentral is "partial 16S ribosomal RNA". It matches the Rfam family "Bacterial small subunit ribosomal RNA", at positions 524 to 776 of the family's 1533-position model. The record is from RNAcentral.